GAGGGUAUAGCUCAGUGGUAGAGCACGUGAUUAGCAUGCAUGAAGUCCUGGGUUCAAUCCCCAGUGCCUUCG
This 72-nucleotide transfer RNA is filed under the name Camelus bactrianus (Bactrian camel). It matches the Rfam family "tRNA". Rfam says of the family: Transfer RNA (tRNA) molecules are approximately 80 nucleotides in length. Their secondary structure includes four short double-helical elements and three loops (D, anti-codon, and T loops). Lineage: Eukaryota; Metazoa; Chordata; Mammalia; Artiodactyla; Camelidae. RNAcentral also lists the same sequence under 2 other names. The record is from Rfam by way of RNAcentral.